AAGGGCACAGAUUUGGAGUCCAAGGGAGCUGACUCUCCUAGUAACUUUGGCAAAUUACUUACCUUCUCUAGUUCAGUUUCCUCUGACUUCCAAAGGAUUAACUAACAAUCUUACGGAUAUAAUAGAUCGUUUUCCCUGGUCAUUCAUUCUUGGUAUGUGGGAAUGAAUGCGGGGAGUUAUUUUCCAGGAGGAUCUCCUCAGCAUCUUCAGGAGAAUAGAUUUGCCCAAAUCUCUUCAGACAUGCCUGACCUGCUUAAGUGGAUGCACUUAGCUUCCAGCGGAGGUACCUGGCAGCCAGGGACUCUACAGCACCCGGAGCAACACUGAGAGAUAGAAGGUUCUGUGAAUGGCGAAUGGCAUUGCUGCUGGUGGGGAAAGCAAACCCCAGCAGCUUGCAAGGCAGAUUCCUUUUUCUUGUUCCUAGAAUUUAAAAGUUCCUUUCCCUUGUCCUCAGACCUGCUCUAUUUUUCAUUCUUCUGAUUCAUUGUUUUCAGAAGUUGGAUUGACUUUCAUUUUUAGGUGGCCUAGUACAGCUCUUCCUGGUCACUGGUUAGAUUUAUUUUUAUGCCCGAUAGGAAUCAGGGCAGAGAAAUCGUCUCAGAAUGUGUCACAUCCGGCUCAACUGACCAGCUAUGAUUUUAAGCUUUGUUCUUCUAAAAUAUUGAUAAACACAACUGUUAAUGUA
Ictidomys tridecemlineatus (thirteen-lined ground squirrel) is the source of this 685-nucleotide non-coding RNA. NCBI's taxonomy places the organism in Eukaryota, Metazoa, Chordata, Mammalia, Rodentia, Sciuridae. The record is from RefSeq and is a predicted model, not a curated record.